This 140-nucleotide long non-coding RNA is filed under the name Chinchilla lanigera (long-tailed chinchilla). Its description in RNAcentral is "lncRNA (ENSCLAG00000023595.1)". The record is from RNAcentral. Lineage: Eukaryota; Metazoa; Chordata; Mammalia; Rodentia; Chinchillidae.
UUUCAACUCACAUUACAUAAUUGUACAUGAAGUGACAUGAUUAUCUUUCUGAGCACCACUAAUUAAUGUCUUAUCCUUAAUAUUGCUAUGGUUCAAGAAUUUUUUCCCCUCUGAAAGUCCUGCAGGAGUUUAUUGUGAGG